GAUGAACGCUGGCGGCGUGCCUAAUACAUGCAAGUCGAGCGAACGGACGAGAAGCUUGCUUCUCUGAUGUUAGCGGCGGACGGGUGAGUAACACGUGGAUAACCUACCUAUAAGACUGGGAUAACUUCGGGAAACCGGAGCUAAUACCGGAUAAUAUUUUGAACCGCAUGGUUCAAAAGUGAAAGACGGUCUUGCUGUCACUUAUAGAUGGAUCCGCGCUGCAUUAGCUAGUUGGUAAGGUAACGGCUUACCAAGGCAACGAUGCAUAGCCGACCUGAGAGGGUGAUCCGCCACACGGGAACUGAGAAACGGUCCAGACUCCGACGGGGAGCAGCAGUAGGGAAUCCUACGCAAUGGGCGAAUGCCUGACGGAGCAACGCCGCGUGAAGGAUGAAGGACUUCGGAUCGUAAAACUCUGUUAUUAGGGAAGAACAUAUGUGUAAGUAACUGUGCACAUCUUGACGGUACCUAAUCAGAAAGCCACGGCUAACUACGUG
This 497-nucleotide ribosomal RNA is filed under the name uncultured bacterium. Its description in RNAcentral is "partial 16S ribosomal RNA". It matches the Rfam family "Bacterial small subunit ribosomal RNA", at positions 28 to 507 of the family's 1533-position model. The record is from RNAcentral.